Molecule: unclassified non-coding RNA, 291 nt
Filed under: Hevea brasiliensis (rubber tree)
Lineage: Eukaryota; Viridiplantae; Streptophyta; Magnoliopsida; Malpighiales; Euphorbiaceae
Source: RNAcentral
UAAUAAUAAUAAUAAUAAUAAAGACAUGAAGGGGCAUAAUUUAUUAGUUCCCUAUUGAAGAAAAAUGUAUUAGCAACCAGAGCACACCACGUAGAAGGCACAUGAGUUAGAAUAAGUGGUUAUUUAUUGAUAAGUCGGCUGUUAAAAUUGGAGGUAAAUGUUCUUCUCAUACAAAGUAAAAGAACGCAACAUUUCAUAAUAACAUGACAUGAAAUAAAAUUUGCACAUACCUUGUGCCCAAAGUAGUGGCCAGCAGGGUCACAUUUAUAGAGCCUAGGCCCAUAUUCCUCG